ACUCCUACGGGAGGCAGCAGUGGGGAAUAUUGCACAAUGGGGGAAACCCUGAUGCAGCCAUGCCGCGUGUGUGAAGAAGGCCUUCGGGUUGUAAAGCACUUUCAGCGAGGAGGAAAGGUUGGUAGCUAAUAACUGCCAGCUGUGACGUUACUCGCAGAAGAAGCACCGGCUAACUCCGUGCCAGCAGCCGCGGUAAU
RNAcentral lists this ribosomal RNA (197 nucleotides) under uncultured bacterium. RNAcentral describes it as "partial 16S ribosomal RNA". It matches the Rfam family "Bacterial small subunit ribosomal RNA", at positions 335 to 524 of the family's 1533-position model. The record is from RNAcentral.